UACGAAGGGGGCUAGCGUUGUUCGGAGUUACUGGGCGUAAAGGGCGCGUAGGCGGCCUUGCAAGUCGGGCGUGAAAUCCCUGGGCUCAACCCGGGAAUGGCGCACGAGACUGCGGGGCUUGAGUGCGGGAGAGGAUGGUGGAAUUCCCAGUGUAGAGGUGAAAUUCGUAGAUAUUGGGAAGAACACCGGUGGCGAAGGCGGCCAUCUGGUCCGCAACUGACGCUGAGGCGCGAAAGCGUGGGGAGCAAACAGG
This 253-nucleotide ribosomal RNA is filed under the name uncultured bacterium. RNAcentral describes it as "partial 16S ribosomal RNA". It matches the Rfam family "Bacterial small subunit ribosomal RNA", at positions 524 to 776 of the family's 1533-position model. The record is from RNAcentral.